CCUACGGGAUGCAGCAGUGGGGAAUAUUGCACAAUGGGCGCAAGCCUGAUGCGGCCAUGCCGCGCGUAUGAAGAAGGCCUUCGGGUUGUAAAGUACUUUCAGCGAGGAGGAAGGCAUUAAGGUUAAUAACCUUGGUGAUUGACGUUACUCGCAGAAGAAGCACCGGCUAACUCCGUGCCAGCAGCCGCGGUAAUACGGAGGGUGCAAGCGUUAAUCGGAAUUACUGGGCGUAAAGCGCACGCAGGUGGUCUGUCAAGUCGGAUGUGAAAUCCCCGGGCUCAACCUGGGAACUGCAUUCGAAACUGGCAGGCUAGAGUCUUGUAGAGGGGGGUAGAACUCCAGGUGUAGCGGUGAAAUGCGUAGAGAUCUGGAGGAAUACCGGUGGCGAGGGCGGCCCCCUGGACAAAGACUGACGCUCAGGUGCGAAAGCGUGGGGAGCAGACAGGAUUAGAUACCCGAGUAGUC
RNAcentral lists this ribosomal RNA (465 nucleotides) under uncultured bacterium. RNAcentral describes it as "bacterial SSU rRNA". It matches the Rfam family "Bacterial small subunit ribosomal RNA", at positions 338 to 795 of the family's 1533-position model. The record is from RNAcentral.